AUGCAGCCACCCUGGGUCCUAUGCAGCCACCCUGGGUCCAUGCAUCUCCGGGACUCACAGAUGAGAUGGAACUGUCCCACGCAUGUUCUCUGGGGCAGAAACUGCUGCGGAGCCUGCCAAGGCCACUCCUGGGGGGCCAGGGCAGAGCGUCUGACCCAGGAGGCUGUGGCCUUGCCACCCCAGGCCUGGUAUGGCCUGUGGACAGUGGCCCGUCCCACCAGCCACCAGGAACCUCCCUUUAGUGCCCACCCCAUCCACCUCACCAAGACUGAUCUAGAAAUUAUUUAUAGACCCAAACUCCACAGAAACCAUUGUGCCUGCCGUUGCCAUGGCAAUGGGGAUGUGGCAGGAGCACCAGGCUUUCAGGCUUUCCCAGGCCUUUGGUGGCCGGCAGGGGCGAUCAGCGUCUACCAGGAGCCCCUACGUUGCCCACCUCCAGAGACCCCCGGAAGUGAAGAAGACAGGCUUCCCACCUGCUUCCAGCAGGGCUGGCUGCGUCCUGGAAGGCAGCACCGCUGCUUCCUACCUGACUCAACUAUGAUCCUCAAAUGGCCUCCAGGCUUCUGGCCUCGCCCCCAGCCUCCUACCAGCAAUAAUCAAAACCCCACCUCGGCUCAUUGACGGUGGACAGCAUGCCGGUAAGGCAAGACACAGGCAAGGGCACAGGCAAACUUCCCGUGGAGGCCUGGAAAUGAGAUGCUUGGAAGCUAUAUUUUCCAAUAAGGAAGCAAGCUCAGAGAGGCCGAGUGUCUGUCUGAGGUCCCAUAGGUGCAGGUGGUGGAGCUGACACUGAACCUGAAGUCAGGUUCCAGAGCUCCACCCUCGCUCCUGUUACAGGUGUAGCCUCAGAUCAUGGCCCUGUGGCCCAGGCUGGGGUCUGCCCAACACUUCUGCGUCCCACCCACACUCCCCUCCCCAGGAAGAUGCCCCUGAGAAGCCGGGCCACCUGGUUCUCUGCAGUCUCUGCGGCACCUGCCCCGACCUUCAGCCAGGAUCUGCCAGGUUUUAGGACAUCUUAGAGGAUGUUCACUCAGGUGAGAAACCUGUGGAUAACUGUGUGUGCCUAGGAUCAAACAUCACUGUACACACAAACGUGCACUGCACAAUUUUACUCCAUCCGUUGUCGGGAAUGCAGUGAUUUUGCCAGCGGAGGGGAGACUGUUGCGUUGAGAACUUUGGUUCAGAACCCAGGUUUUCACGCUUUGGAAAACCGCAUCCCCAGUGGUCAGGCUGAGUAAGGUAGGUGGGUACUCCAGGUGCCACGCUGGGGCUGGGUGCCAGCGUUUGCUG
Molecule: long non-coding RNA, 1290 nt
Filed under: Callithrix jacchus (white-tufted-ear marmoset)
Lineage: Eukaryota; Metazoa; Chordata; Mammalia; Primates; Cebidae
Description: lncRNA (ENSCJAG00000079035.1)
Source: RNAcentral